Molecule: ribosomal RNA, 1498 nt
Filed under: uncultured bacterium
Lineage: Bacteria
Description: bacterial SSU rRNA
Rfam family: Bacterial small subunit ribosomal RNA
Source: RNAcentral
AGAGUUUGAUCAUGGCUCAGGAUGAACGCUAGCGGCAGGCUUAAUACAUGCAAGUCGAACGGUAAGCGGGUAGCAAUACCUGCCUAGAGUGGCGCACGGGUGCGUAACGCGUAUGCAACCUACCUUUAACUGGGGGAUAGCCCGGAGAAAUUCGGAUUAAUACCCCAUAGUAACACUGAUGGGCAUCUGUUGGUGUUUAAAGCUUUUUUGCGGUUAGAGAUGGGCAUGCGUUCCAUUAGCUAGUUGGUGUGGUAAUGGCAGACCAAGGCUACGAUGGAUAGGGGACCUGAGAGGGCGAUCCCCCACACUGGUACUGAGACACGGACCAGACUCCUACGGGAGGCAGCAGUAAGGAAUAUUGGGCAAUGGACGCAAGUCUGACCCAGCCAUGCCGCGUGCAGGAAGACGGCCUUAUGGGUUGUAAACUGCUUUUGUCAGGGAAUAAAAGCCUGUACGGGAUACGGGUUUGCAGGUACCUGAAGAAUAAGCAUCGGCUAACUCCGUGCCAGCAGCCGCGGUAAUACGGAGGAUGCGAGCGUUAUCCGGAUUCAUUGGGUUUAAAGGGUGCGCAGGCGGGCGAAUAAGUCAGGGGUGAAAUUCCACGGCUCAACUGUGGGUCUGCCUUUGAUACUGUUUGUCUUGAGUUUAGUUGAGGUGGGCGGAAUGUAGCAUGUAGCGGUGAAAUGCAUAGAUAUGCUACAGAACACCGAUAGCGGAGGCAGCUCACCAAGCUAUAACUGACGCUCAUGCACGAAAGCGUGGGGAUCAAACAGGAUUAGAUACCCUGGUAGUCCACGCUGUAAACGAUGAUCACUCGUUGUUGGCGAUAAACAGUCAGCGGCUAAGCGAAAGUGAUAAGUGAUCCACCUGGGGAGUACGAUCGCAAGGUUGAAACUCAAAGGAAUUGACGGGGGCCCGCACAAGCGGUGGAGCAUGUGGUUUAAUUCGAUGAUACGCGAGGAACCUUACCUGGGCUUGAACGCUUGAUGAUAUUGGGAGAAAUCUCAAGUCCCUUCGGGGCGUUGAGCGAGGUGCUGCAUGGUUGUCGUCAGCUCGUGCCGUGAGGUGUCGGGUUAAGUCCCAUAACGAGCGCAACCCCUAUCAUUAGUUGCCAACAGGUUAGGCUGGGGACUCUAAUGAAACUGCCUACGCAAGUAGAGAGGAAGGUGGGGAUGACGUCAAAUCAGCACGGCCCUUACGUCCAGGGCUACACACGUGCUACAAUGGCCGGUACAGAGGGCAGCCACCUGGUGACAGGGAGCGAAUCUCGAAAGCCGGUCUCAGUUCGGAUCGAAGUCUGCAACCCGACUUCGUGAAGCUGGAAUCGCUAGUAAUCGCGCAUCAGCCAUGGCGCGGUGAAUACGUUCCCGGGUCUUGUACACACCGCCCGUCACACCAUGGGAGUGGGUUUCACCAGAAGUAGGUAGCUUAACCUUCGGGAGGGCGCUUACCACGGUGAGAUUCAUGACUGGGGUGAAGUCGUAACAAGGUAGCCGUA